Molecule: ribosomal RNA, 550 nt
Filed under: uncultured bacterium
Lineage: Bacteria
Description: partial 16S ribosomal RNA
Rfam family: Bacterial small subunit ribosomal RNA
Source: RNAcentral
UGGGGAAUUUUGGACAAUGGGCGCAAGCCUGAUCCAGCCAUGCCGCGUGCGGGAAGAAGGCCUUCGGGUUGUAAACCGCUUUUGUCAGGGAAGAAAUCUUCUGAGUUAAUACCUCGGGAGGAUGACGGUACCUGAAGAAUAAGCACCGGCUAACUACGUGCCAGCAGCCGCGGUAAUACGUAGGGUGCAAGCGUUAAUCGGAAUUACUGGGCGUAAAGCGUGCGCAGGCGGUUUUGUAAGACAGAGGUGAAAUCCCCGGGCUCAACCUGGGAACUGCCUUUGUGACUGCAAGGCUUGAGUGCGGCAGAGGGGGGAUGGAAUUCCGCGUGUAGCAGUGAAAUGCGUAGAUAUGCGGAGGAACACCGAUGGCGAAGGCAAUCCCCUGGGCCUGCACUGACGCUCAUGCACGAAAGCGUGGGGAGCAAACAGGAUUAGAUAGCCCUGGUAGUCCACGCCCUAAACGAUGUCAACUGGUUGUUGGGAAGGUUCCUUCUCAGUAACGUAGCUAACGCGUGAAGUUGACCGCCUGGGGAGCACGGCCGCAAGGUUG